CAUUUCUUCUCCACCUGGGGCUUUUUCUAGUUUCUAUCUGUUACGAAUGAGCUGUUACAAACCAAAGCAUUCUUAGAAACAUGCAGUGGCUACCACUUACACUAGUUCUAAGUAGAAGCUCCUUAACGUUACCUCACAGGCACUGUGUAACUUAGCUUUCCUUACCUCUUCCUUGGUCUCACCUCUUGCCACUCUAAUUUUCUUAACCUUACUGUUCUCCAGUCUUAUUCCUUCCAGGACCCUGAAGCUUCCAUGCCACGCCCACGUUAGCCUUUUGCAUGCAAUCCCUGCAGUGAGAACACUGUGUCUACUGGUUGCCUGGCACGUCUUGCUCAUGUUCCUCUACUUAUUACAGUGUGUCUCUGGGCCUGUACUUAUAACCUCUCAGGCGUGAGUGAACAAUAGUUCCCUGUUUCCACGGGGUAUAUAUUCCUUUCUCUUGCAUUCGCUAUCUAGUUUUUCCUCUCUCCAUUAUCCAGAUUCUAUAACAGUAGCAAAAGGAAUUGAAAAGAGAUAGACCUUUCCCUACAUGGUGAGAGAAUGGGGAGGAGUCUUUAUUUUCCCUGCUAUCUCUAACUAUUUUUCUCUCUCCACCCAGUCUCCUGGUUCUCUAACAGCAUAGCCUGGAACCAGGCUGAAAUAGACUCAAGAAUUCUUGGGUCCUCCCAGGAGUAGGGACAUUCAUGUGUUAAUUCUUACUGAGUGGGUCCUACGUCUGCAGGACCUUCUAUUAGGUCCUAGGAAAGUCGCAAAGUGAGUUAUGUGAGUAAUCCCUCCUCACAAGGAAUUCACAAUCUCACCAGCGUGACUGGAUGAAAUCACAUGAAGUAGAUUUCAAGGAAGAAAACCAACAGACAGUGAGAAGGAGCGCAGCUGUACACCCAUGAAUAGCUUAAGGGCUUCCUGGAUGUUGCGUGUACAGCAGGAACAGAACUGUGGGGAAACCAGAAAAAGUCUCAUGGAAGAGGACUGAGCCCUCUGGAGGCUUUAUCUCUUUGCAUAGCUAACAGGGAGAGAUCAGCUAGCUGAAUGCUGCCUGUUUUCAUUGGCGUGACCCAGCCUACUUCCGACACAUGCCCAGAACUACAUUCGUCCUUGAGAUUGAAGCCAGACAUUUAAGACUGCCGAGCAUAUAUCAGAAUUUACUCCUUUGACAUUGAAAACAAAGAAGAAUUGGAGCCC
Molecule: long non-coding RNA, 1182 nt
Organism: Pipistrellus kuhlii (Kuhl's pipistrelle)
Lineage: Eukaryota; Metazoa; Chordata; Mammalia; Chiroptera; Vespertilionidae
Exons: 3
Source: RefSeq, a predicted model, not a curated record